RNAcentral lists this long non-coding RNA (600 nucleotides) under Homo sapiens (human). RNAcentral's name for it is "HSALNT0327573". Lineage: Eukaryota; Metazoa; Chordata; Mammalia; Primates; Hominidae. The record is from RNAcentral.
CCUAACCUAAUGCUGGCCACCAAUAGGGCUAAACAGUGUUAGCAGGUACUGUCAGCAGGCCUCAGGCAGAAGCAGACAAGAAGGGUAAGAAGUAAAGGAGAGGGAGGAAAGGAGUUGAAAGAAUAAGAGAAUGAGGUGAAAGCUGAAGUCCCCACAGAGGGAAAUGCCACAAGACUAGGCCGUGCAACAUUUCCGCAGUGCUCCUCGCUACAAAGACAUUCCCCUAAGGCUGGUGGGCAACUCAACACUCAGCUCAGUACGUGGUCAGCUCGUCCUCCAUAGGAGCCUUAUGCCUUGGUGAGGAGAUCUCUGAAGAAAUUGCUGAUGAAAGUCCAACAGGCUCUUCCAGUUUGUCUGGUCGGUCACAUUUGCUGAAACCUGGAGGAAUUGUUAGUGGAAGCUCAACAGGCCUGACUCAGUCUGACUGUCCAUUCUUCUGGAAGCUGCAGAGAAAAGAAACCUGGAAACCUUAUAUGCUGACAAAAAGGGACACAAUUGGAUAUGAUGGUUAUUUUACCAAGGUUUUGAAAUGUCGUGCUUUCAAAUAUAAACAGACUGCUUUAAGGAAUCGAAGUUGACUUAUAGAGCCAAUAAAAGCCC